CGUACCCUCCUCUGGACCGGACUCUGAUUGAGCGGUGCUCAUUGAGAGCUAAGUGUUCAAUGAGGGCGGACGUCGCCGACGAUAAUUGUAUACAAGAAGGUGAACGAACCGCAAGGACUAUCAUUUAAUUUAGAAAUUCUAGAGAGCGUUGACGGCCAUCUUUUCUUUCGCGCUCUCGUACCCCCCUCUGGACCGGACUCUGAUUGAGCGGUGCUCAUUGAGAGCUAAGUGUUCAAUGAGGGCGGACGUCGCCGACGAUAAUUGUAUACAAGAAGGUGAACGAACCGCAAAAGGCGUAGUGGC
Long non-coding RNA from Drosophila biarmipes, 303 nucleotides. RefSeq lists it as uncharacterized. The transcript has 4 exons. The record is from RefSeq and is a predicted model, not a curated record. Lineage: Eukaryota; Metazoa; Arthropoda; Insecta; Diptera; Drosophilidae.